UACGGGGGGGGCAAGCGUUGUUCGGAAUUACUGGGCGUAAAGGGCUCGUAGGCGGCCAACUAAGUCAGACGUGAAAUCCCUCGGCUUAACCGGGGAACUGCGUCUGAUACUGGAUGGCUUGAGUUCGGGAGAGGGAUGCGGAAUUCCAGGUGUAGCGGUGAAAUGCGUAGAUAUCUGGAGGAACACCGGUGGCGAAGGCGGCAUCCUGGACCGACACUGACACUGAGGAGCGAAAGCGUGGGGAGCAAACAGG
RNAcentral lists this ribosomal RNA (253 nucleotides) under uncultured bacterium. Its description in RNAcentral is "partial 16S ribosomal RNA". It matches the Rfam family "Bacterial small subunit ribosomal RNA", at positions 524 to 776 of the family's 1533-position model. The record is from RNAcentral.